GCAGUCUUCGCUAGACACUCCAUGCAACAGUGUGUAUUUGUACGUGGGUGGACGGCUUGCUAUCUGUGACGCGUUCCCAGGACAGACUGCAGGUGGCACCAGGGUCCCCUGAUUGUGAAGUUCCACCUCUGCAGAAUGGCUUAGGUGCAAUUUAUAGCAGCAUUGCCCUUUUUAAUUCAGUGUUUAACAAGGUUAACCUGAAGCAGGUUACUAGGUGCUAAUUAGGAUCUGUGGCCAGGUCAAUGCAUUUUUUUUUUUUUUUUUAAACGGGUA
This 273-nucleotide long non-coding RNA is filed under the name Homo sapiens (human). RNAcentral describes it as "HSALNT0375224". The record is from RNAcentral. Lineage: Eukaryota; Metazoa; Chordata; Mammalia; Primates; Hominidae.